AUUGAACGCUGGCGGCAUGCCUUACACAUGCAAGUCGAACGGUAACGCGGGGGCAACCCUGGCGACGAGUGGCGAACGGGUGAGUAACACAUCGGAACGUGUCCUGUUGUGGGGGAUAACCCAUCGAAAGGUGAGCUAAUACCGCAUGAUCUGGAGACAGCAAAGCAGGGGACCGAAACGGCCUUGCGCGAUUGGAGCGGCCGAUGUCCGAUUAGCUAGUUGGUGGGGUAAAGGCCCACCAAGGCAACGAUCGGUAGCUGGUCUGAGAGGAUGACCAGCCGCACUGGGACUGAGACACGGCCCAGACUCCUACGGGAGGCAGCAGUGGGGAAUAUUGGACAAUGGGCGCAAGCCUGAUCCAGCCAUGCCGCGUGAGUGAUGAAGG
RNAcentral lists this ribosomal RNA (385 nucleotides) under uncultured bacterium. Its description in RNAcentral is "bacterial SSU rRNA". It matches the Rfam family "Bacterial small subunit ribosomal RNA", at positions 29 to 414 of the family's 1533-position model. The record is from RNAcentral.